GUCUCACUGUAGAGCAAUGGAUAGCGCGUUGAACUUCUCCUCCAAAGGUCGUGGGUUCGAAGGCCAUCUGAGAUA
Molecule: non-coding RNA, 75 nt
Organism: Trichonephila inaurata madagascariensis
Lineage: Eukaryota; Metazoa; Arthropoda; Arachnida; Araneae; Nephilidae
Source: the annotation of a GenBank genome assembly